AGCUGUCGGAACAAACUGCAGGAUCUUCUUUCUCCGCUAAUACUCAAACUAAUCCAAAGGAGCAUUGCAAAGCAAUUUUUACUAGAAGCGGUAGAGAGUUGACAAGUAAAAAAGGUGAGGAAAUUACAGUUGAGAAUGAUAUGGAUGUUGUGCUGGAAAAUGAGGAUGUGGCUUGUGGGAAGAAGAAAGUGGUAGAAACUGCUCAGUUCGCGCCGCGAUCUCCCUUCGCGCCGCGAAAACAGCAGAACCAACAACUGAUGGAAGAGCAGCGGUGUGAAGCGGAAAUGAAUAAGGAAAUCGAACCAAGAAAUAAGAAAAAAGGAGACAAAGGAGUGAAUGUCAUUCCAGUUCAACAUCUACCAUAUCCGCACGCACCAUCAAAGAAGGAUAACGCUAG
This 397-nucleotide long non-coding RNA is filed under the name Lathyrus oleraceus (garden pea). Its description in RNAcentral is "Pisum sativum (pea) long non-coding RNA (PSAT_LNC008676)". Lineage: Eukaryota; Viridiplantae; Streptophyta; Magnoliopsida; Fabales; Fabaceae. The record is from RNAcentral.